Molecule: ribosomal RNA, 506 nt
Filed under: uncultured bacterium
Lineage: Bacteria
Description: partial 16S ribosomal RNA
Rfam family: Bacterial small subunit ribosomal RNA
Source: RNAcentral
AUUGAACGCUGGCGGCAGGCCUAACACACGCAAGUCGAACGGUAAAAGGAAACCGCUUGCUGUUUCGCUGACGAGUGGCGGACGGGUGAGUAAUGUCUGGGAAACCGCCCGAUGGAGGGGGAUAACUACUGGAAACGGUUGCUAAUACCGCAUAACGUCGCAAGACCAAAGAGGGGGACCUUCGGGCCUCUUGCUAUCGGAUGUGCCCAGAUGGGAUUAGCUAGUAGGUGGGGUAACGGCUCACCUAGGCGACGACCCCUAGCUGGUCUGAGAGGAUGACCAGCCACACUGGAACUGAGACACGGUCCGGACUCCUACGGGAGGGAGCAGUGGGGAAUAUUGCACAAUGGGCGCAAGCCUGAUGCAGCCAUGCCGCGUGUAUGAAGAAGGCCUUCGGGUUGUAAAGUACUUUCAGCGGGGAGGAAGGGAGUAAAGUUAAUACCUUUGCUCAUUGACGUUACACGCAGAAGAAGCACCGGCGAACUCCGUGCCAGCAGCCGCAGUAA